RNAcentral lists this ribosomal RNA (288 nucleotides) under uncultured bacterium. RNAcentral's name for it is "partial 16S ribosomal RNA". It matches the Rfam family "Bacterial small subunit ribosomal RNA", at positions 773 to 1060 of the family's 1533-position model. The record is from RNAcentral.
GUGGAUUAGAUACCCUAGUAGUCCUAGCAGUAAACGGUGCACGCUUGGUGUGAGGGGAAUCGACCCCCCUUGUGCCGGAGCUAACGCGUUAAGCGUGCCGCCUGGGAAGUACGGUCGCAAGACUAAAACUCAAAGAAAUUGACGGGGACCCGCACAAGCGGUGGAGUAUGUGGCUUAAUUCGAUGCAACGCGAAGAACCUUACCAAGGCUUGACAUGCAUCUCUAAACACGUGAAAGCGUGUGACCCUUCGGGGAAUUUGCACAGGUGCUGCAUGGUUGUCGCCAACU